GGAGGGUUGGCCGAGUGGACGAAGGCGGGUGAUUUGAAAUCACUUGAGGGGUUAACAGCCCUCGCAGGGUUGAAUCCCUCUGCCCUCUC
This 89-nucleotide transfer RNA is filed under the name Persephonella sp. RNAcentral's name for it is "tRNA-Ser". Lineage: Bacteria; Pseudomonadati; Aquificota; Aquificia; Aquificales; Hydrogenothermaceae. The record is from RNAcentral.